This is a long non-coding RNA of Centruroides sculpturatus (bark scorpion), 1403 nucleotides long. RefSeq lists it as uncharacterized. The record is from RefSeq and is a predicted model, not a curated record. The transcript is spliced from 4 exons. NCBI's taxonomy places the organism in Eukaryota, Metazoa, Arthropoda, Arachnida, Scorpiones, Buthidae.
UCGGUUUGGACCGGAAGUCACGUUAUUUUAAUUCAAAAAUUUUUUUCCAGAACAGUUAGAUAGAUGAUUCUAAAAUUUUUGCUGAGAUAAUUAGCAUACAUGAUCAAUUAUACAUCAGUGACAUGUGAUAAACAAUAAGAGAUGUUCAGAAUUGUAUUAGUAUAGUUUUUCGUCCCACAUACUAAUUUUAUCCAGGUAAGUUGAGGCAGCGUAUGGCAGGUGAGCACGUGUUAAGUGACGCACCUGCGCCGUUAACCACAGUACGUAAACCCAAGCUACACACACAGACAGUUUGCGUGAAGAACUCGUAAAAGAAUCAUAUCUUCUAUGUUAAGAUGCGAUGAGUUGUACGUAACCACGUGACAAGUACUGAAAGGAUUUUUAACUGCGACCGUCUAUCAUCAACAUCUUCAACUUUCUUUUUUCUUUUUGUUUUCUUCCUGCCGUUCCUAGAAAAUUACUUGCUAUAUCGAUUAUUGCCAGGAUGAAGAUUAAUUUAUUUAUUGCAAUCAUCUGCGUUCUGUUGAUUAAUUCUGUUUGUAAAAGUCAAAAAAGGAUGUAUCAAGAUCACACGGUGCAAACUUACUUCAGUGAAAGGACAUGUUGGUGGAAUGAAAUCUGCAAAAAGGAAUUUCAACAGCAGUUCCGUUGCAGAUGCCCUAAAUGGUCUUAUUGCAGAUCACCUGGAAAAUAUUAUAAUGCUUACUGUACUAUGACCAGCACAGGUUAUAUCUGGUUACAAACAGAACGUAAAAAUCGCCAUAUUGGAAUUUAGCCAUAGUUGUAUAUCGUUUUUCUUCAAUUACGUCCUCUAAUUCUAUAUGUAACAAAAAAAAAAAAAUUAUUUUUAACUCUGAUAUGUAAAUUUUUGUGCAUUAUCAUCUUAUCGAUGAUAAGAGAUAUGUAGGUUAAUGCUUCUUUACCACGCGAUGCUGUAAAGAAGUUAAAAAAGAAGUUGAGAAGUCUGUUAAUGUCUUUAAUUUAAAAAUUUAUCGGUUGAUUGCCACCGUAUUAAUGAUCGUAAUUAAGUAAAUUUUUAUCAGAAUAUUUUAUAUUCUUAAAUUACUUUAGAUACAAUAUUAGCUUUAGUCAAUUUUAAAUACAUUCUCCUACGUUCGACUUAAUUAUUUAUUAUAAUAAAUAUUCUAAGAGUUGUAACAUACAUAUAUAUAGACCUAUAUAUGUAUAAAUAUUUGUUGUAAAUAAGAUUUUUAUCAAAGAAAUUAACUAAAAUCAUCAAACUAAUGUGAUAUUUUAAUUAGUUUCAUCUAAUUAUAAUUAUUAAGCAAUAAACUUGAUAUAAUUUAUGCUAAUUGUGAUUUAAAACAUAAUUAAUAACUUGUUAAUGAAAAUUGAAAAAUUGUUGGAAAGGAGGACGAGUUUGGAAAUUGCUGCAAGUGAUG